Molecule: ribosomal RNA, 250 nt
Filed under: uncultured bacterium
Lineage: Bacteria
Description: partial 16S ribosomal RNA
Rfam family: Bacterial small subunit ribosomal RNA
Source: RNAcentral
UACGAGUGGCCCGAGCGUUAAUCGGAAUCACUGGGCUUAAAGCGUCCGCAGGCGGACGCGCAAGUAUCUUGUGAAAUCCCACGGCUCAACCGUGGAACUGCAGGGUAAACUGCGUGUCUUGAGGUAGGUAGGGGUCAUCAGAACGUACGGUGGAGCGGUGAAAUGCAUAGAUAUCGUACGGAAUGCCAAAGGUGAAGACAGGUGACUGGGCCUAUUCUGACGCUCAUGGACGAAAGCGUGGGGAUCAAAC